RNA transcript from Rhipicephalus microplus (southern cattle tick), 750 nucleotides. RefSeq lists it as uncharacterized. The record is from RefSeq and is a predicted model, not a curated record. NCBI's taxonomy places the organism in Eukaryota, Metazoa, Arthropoda, Arachnida, Ixodida, Ixodidae.
GGUUCCGAGAGCGCUGCGGUCACGGAGGAAGGAAAGGUGUCUGCGGUAGAGUGUACCCCUUCUAGUACACUGUAGCUGCGGCUUCGCCGUCACCUGUCCACCGCAAGCCGCGAAAACGAUUUCGCACCAAUGGAAAUUUAUGCCUCUUGAAGGAAGUGUUGUGUGCUGACCCCCUUCAGCAAUCCCGCUGCGUGGGAGGACGUGCUGCGAAAUGUGAUGACAGCGGUAAAUCGUGAGCUCACAAUUCGCGGCAUCAAAGAACGAGUGGACCUCCUCAUCGGCUAUUUCCGACAGCAGUACACAGCGAACCUGAGGAACACAGGAUACCUCAGAAGCAGGGAAUAUGGAGGACAGUGACGCUGAUCAUGACGCUCAAGAGCCCAACGCUGACCAUGACGCUCAAGGGCCUCUUCGUGUGCCGGAACGGCAGAAAAUACCCACAUUCUGCUGUUCUGACAGGAAUCAGAGGCCUCCGGGCCCUUGGACUUCAGCACCUUCUUAAAAGAGAAGAUAAUGAGUUUCUUGUCCGGCAAAAAAGAAAUAGAGCUGCAACACCGACGGCUUGACCAGGAGGAACGACGCAUGGCACUGGAAGAACGAAAAGUGGCGUUGGAUGAAGAGCAACUGAGAAUGGAGGCUCAGCGGCACAAUGCGACCUCUGAAAUUCUGCAUGGAUUAAGCAACAAGCUCGAAGAAUUAGAAAAAAAAAUUACCUGCCUACACAAAUAAAGACAGUGUCAGAGGAAGCAG